RNAcentral lists this long non-coding RNA (329 nucleotides) under Bos indicus x Bos taurus (hybrid cattle). Its description in RNAcentral is "lncRNA (ENSBIXG00000028627.1)". Lineage: Eukaryota; Metazoa; Chordata; Mammalia; Artiodactyla; Bovidae. The record is from RNAcentral.
CCUGUGUCCUUCCCAGGCCAUCUUGUCGGUGAGCACUGUAGGAGGUCCCACUCCUGGGGACAGUGUCUGCCAUGUCCGCCCGGGACCUUUAUGGAGAGGCUCAACGGAAUGGAAGCCUGCUUCAAGUGCUCCACCUGCUCCAAGAAUGAGGAAGUGUUAGAGGAGUGCACGCCGACCCACGACAGAGUGUGCCAGUGCCGAUCGGGCUAUUUCUACGCCCACGUGGGAUCCUCUGAAAGCUGCAGCCCGUGUAGCACGUGGGUGAUCCUGCUCGGGGGCCCUGGGUGGGGGAGGGGGCCCUGCGCCGGGGAGGGGGCCGUGGUCCCUCC